RNAcentral lists this ribosomal RNA (114 nucleotides) under Cupriavidus necator. Lineage: Bacteria; Pseudomonadati; Pseudomonadota; Betaproteobacteria; Burkholderiales; Burkholderiaceae. The record is from RNAcentral. RNAcentral also lists the same sequence under 16 other names.
CCUGGUGACCAUAGCGAGUUGGAACCACCCCUUCCCAUCCCGAACAGGUCCGUGAAACGACUCCGCGCCGAUGAUAGUGCGGAUUACCCGUGUGAAAGUAGGUCAUCGCCAGGC